RNAcentral lists this ribosomal RNA (253 nucleotides) under uncultured bacterium. RNAcentral's name for it is "partial 16S ribosomal RNA". It matches the Rfam family "Bacterial small subunit ribosomal RNA", at positions 524 to 776 of the family's 1533-position model. The record is from RNAcentral.
UACGUAGGGUGCAGGCGUUAAUCGGAAUUACUGGGCGUAAAGCGCACGUAGGCGGAUUUGUAAGUCAGGGGUGAAGUCCCGGGGCUCAACCUCGGAACUGCCUUUGAUACUGCAAAUCUCGAGUCCGGAAGAGGUGAGUGGAAUUCCUAGUGUAGAGGUGAAAUUCGUAGAUAUUAGGAAGAACACCAGUGGCGAAGGCGGCUCACUGGUCCGGUACUGACGCUGAGGUGCGAAAGCGUGGGGAGCAAACAGG